Long non-coding RNA from Dunckerocampus dactyliophorus (ringed pipefish), 1799 nucleotides. RefSeq lists it as uncharacterized. NCBI's taxonomy places the organism in Eukaryota, Metazoa, Chordata, Actinopteri, Syngnathiformes, Syngnathidae. The record is from RefSeq and is a predicted model, not a curated record. The transcript is spliced from 6 exons.
AUUGUGUAUUGUAUUGUAUUGUAUUGUAUUGUAUUGUAUAUUGUGUAUUUGUUCAUAGAAGGCACACAGGACGAUGACCGACCGUUAUGUUAAUAAGCAGUGCGCUGAAGAGGCAUUCAAUGGCACUGCGUAUGUCUGAGUGUUUUGGGAAUUUGUGCUUGUUUAAUAACGGAAUACGGCUGCAAGAAAGUUGCUCGUGCCAGAACUUUGCUAAAGAACCCGAGAAAUAGUAUUUAAUUCAAGAAAGAAGUCGCAGCACAGUACGAAGGUAGAGUCUAGACUUUUCCUGUGGGACUGUAAUGUAAAGAUAGGAACCAUUAAUGCAAGGUACAGGGGGAAUGCUUUCAGAGAGACACAUAACAGGUAGUGAGCCGGGCCAGCGUGUGUAAUGAUGAUUGUACCUGCUGUUGGAGCUUCCAGUAAAGUUCAAGACAGCACGUGUACGGCUCAAACCGUCAAGUUUACGUUACGUUUGUAACGGUGUUGGCGUGCUUGGCUCUUCCGUCCGUCCCUCCUUCGAGCCUCCCUCCCCUCCACCCACCUCCGUGUUUGCUAGUCUUCAAUACAGUAAAGGUUGGGUUGCAGGGGCAGAAGCCUAAGACGAAAAUCGCAGACUUCCCUCUCCCCCUGUUCCUUCAUCCAGCUCCUCCCGGCGGAUCCUGAGGUGCUCCCAGGCCAGUUGAGAGACAGUCUCUCCAACGUGUCCUGGGUCUUCCCCAAGGCCUCCUACUGGUCUGACGUGCCCAGGGAGCCGUCUGAGAGGCAUUCUGAUCAUAUGCCCGAGCCGCCACAUCUGGCUUUUCUCAAUGCGGAGGAGUUCAGACUCAGAGUUUCUCCCAGAUCACAGUGUUUCUCAUCCUGUCUCUAAGGGAGAGCCCGGCCACCCUACAGCGGAACCUCAUUUUGGCCACUUAUCCACGAUCUUGUCCUUUCAGUCACUGACCAAAGCUCAUUACCAUAAGUGGGGUAGAGACAAAGAUCGACUGUUUCACUCCUUUGUAAAAGAGAAUGGGGUCCGCUCCUCAUUUAAAUUAAGGAGUUAGCUAGGAAUGUCAUAAUGGUUCCAGGACUGUGAGUUCUUGCCACAGGGCCAGACGAUCAACCAGCGGCGUUUCGUUCAUUGCAUGAAAAGAGGCGAGAGUUGUGGCAGGCCAGCUUGCGCCUGCUGACGUGCCUGAACAUCCGGGACUUCCUGGCCAAGAAGAACAUCACCGUGCUGGAGAAUGCUGGGAUUUUGUCCUCUUUCCAAAGCUCAAGGAGUCACCAAGGGGACACGUUUUGAAGACACGGACAACAUGGAGAAUUCCUCCAGGAGUACAUGAAGGCGUGGGAAGUGCAUUACUCUGAAGGGGAAAACUUUAGAUUUGAGAUAUAUCUUUUGUGACACGAGUCCUGGAACUUUGGACUUGAACAUGGAACAUACAUUCUGCGAACCUGCUGACUACAAACCUGACAAGCUGGUGUGUGUUAAAAGCAAAAAAGAAGGCGUUGAAGGUGCUUUCUCUGCGCUACGCAACGUAUGUGAUGGCCGGGGACACGAAAGAUAAAUGUACGGAAGAGGGUGUGUUUGAGACCAGGGCAUCAUGGGUGACCUACACAUCCACCUUGAAUGCUUAGCGUUUGCUGUGAGGAACCUGCGGUGACGAAUGACCUCAUCAUCUUCAGAUGGGAACACGGUAGAGAUUGUCUGCAGAUCUUACCUGUACUGAACCUGACAUCCCUGGAAACCAAGCGUAUGUCCACAAUGGAGAACUGAGGUAACUCCAACUUGUCGACCCCCGUCACAGCACUGUCCCCUC